RNAcentral lists this ribosomal RNA (253 nucleotides) under uncultured bacterium. RNAcentral describes it as "partial 16S ribosomal RNA". It matches the Rfam family "Bacterial small subunit ribosomal RNA", at positions 524 to 776 of the family's 1533-position model. The record is from RNAcentral.
UACAGAGGUCUCAAGCGUUGUUCGGAUUUAUUGGGCGUAAAGGGCGCGUAGGCGGUGCGGUAAGUCACCUGUGAAACCUCUAGGCUUAACCUAGAGCCUGCAGGCGAAACUGCCGUGCUGGAGUGUGGGAGAGGCGCGUGGAAUUGCAGGUGUAGCGGUGAAAGGCGUAGAUAUCUGCAGGAACACCCGUGGCGAAAGCGGCGCGCUGGACCACUACUGACGCUGAGGAACGAAAGCUAGGGGAGCAAACAGG